UACGUAUGGUGCAAGCGUUAUCCGGAUUUACUGGGUGUAAAGGGAGCGUAGGCGGCGCGUUAAGUCUGAUGUGAAAACCCGAGGCUCAACCACGGGAGUGCAUUGGAAACUGGUAGACUUGAGUGCAGGAGAGGAGAGUGGAAUUCCAUGUGUAGCGGUGAAAUGCGUAGAUAUAUGGAGGAACACCGGUGGCGAAAGCGGCUCUCUGGCCUGUAACUGACACUGAGGCUCGAAAGCGUGGGGAGCAAACAGG
RNAcentral lists this ribosomal RNA (253 nucleotides) under uncultured bacterium. RNAcentral's name for it is "partial 16S ribosomal RNA". It matches the Rfam family "Bacterial small subunit ribosomal RNA", at positions 524 to 776 of the family's 1533-position model. The record is from RNAcentral.